AUUGAACGCUGGCGGCAGGCCUAACACAUGCAAGUCGAGCGGAUGAAGGGAGCUUGCUCCUGGAUUCAGCGGCGGACGGGUGAGUAAUGCCUAGGAAUCUGCCUGGUAGUGGGGGAUAACAUCCGGAAACGGGCGCUAAUACCGCAUACGUCCUGAGGGGGAAAGUGGGGGAUCUUCGGACCUCACGCUAUCAGAGGAGCCUAGGUCGGAUUACCUAGUUGGUGGGGUAAAGGCCUACCAAGGCGACGAUCCGUAACUGGUCUGAGAGGAUGAUCAGUCACACUGGAACUGAGACACGGUCCAGACUCCUACGGGAGGCAGCAGUGGGGAAUAUUGGACAAUGGGCGAAAGCCUGAUCCAGCCAUGCCGCGUGUGUGAAGAAGGUCUUCGGAUUGUAAAGCACUUUAAGUUGGGAGGAAGGGCAGUAAGUUAAUACCUUGCUGUUUUGACGUUACCAACAGAAUAAGCACCGGCUAACUUCGUG
RNAcentral lists this ribosomal RNA (484 nucleotides) under uncultured bacterium. Its description in RNAcentral is "partial 16S ribosomal RNA". It matches the Rfam family "Bacterial small subunit ribosomal RNA", at positions 30 to 507 of the family's 1533-position model. The record is from RNAcentral.